UACGGAAGGCAGCAGUGGGGAAUAUUGCACAAUGGGCGAAAGCCUGAUGCAGCUAUGCCGCGUGUAUGAAGAAGGCCUUAGGGUUGUAAAGUACUUUCAUCGGGGAGGAAAAAACAAAACUAAUAAUUUUAUUUCUUGACGUUACCCGAAAAAGAAGCACCGGCUAACUCCGUGCCAGCAGCCGCGGUAAUACGGAGGGUGCUAGCGUUAAUCAGAAUUACUGGGCGUAAAGAGCACGUAGGUGGUUUUUUAAGUCAGAUGUGAAAUCCCUGGGCUUAACCUAGGAACUGCAUUUUGAAACUGAAAUACUAGAGUAUCGUAGAGGGAGGUAGAAUUCUAGGUGUAGCGGUGAAAUGCGUAGAUAUCUGGAGGAAUACCUGUGGCGAAAGCGGCCUCCUAAACGAAUACUGACACUGAGGUGCGAAAAGCGUGGGGAGCAAACAGGGAUUAGAUA
This 454-nucleotide ribosomal RNA is filed under the name uncultured bacterium. Its description in RNAcentral is "bacterial SSU rRNA". It matches the Rfam family "Bacterial small subunit ribosomal RNA", at positions 340 to 784 of the family's 1533-position model. The record is from RNAcentral.